Oryctolagus cuniculus (rabbit) is the source of this 1013-nucleotide non-coding RNA. The record is from RefSeq and is a predicted model, not a curated record. Lineage: Eukaryota; Metazoa; Chordata; Mammalia; Lagomorpha; Leporidae.
CAUCCGCCCAGACAGCCACGCAGCCGGCGACUCAGCCCCGCUGGGUUCAAACCGCGUCCCUGGACCCAGGCAAGCUACUCAGCCCUGUGUGCCUCUGUGUCCUCACCUGUGAGGCGGGGAGCAGAAUUGGAACCCGCUAGGAGGUGUGUGUGUGUGUGUAUCUGUGUGUGUGAAGAUGUUUUUACAAUUUUUAUUUACUUUCGUUUUAUUUGAAAGGCAGAGAGAGAGAGACAGAGAUUUUCCAGUGAUUCAUUCCCCAAGUGCCCACAACAGCUGGUGCUGGGCCAAGCAGAAGGAAGCCAGGCUCAGCAUCUCCCACGUGGGUGGCAUCUGCUGCUUCCCAGGAUAGACAGUGAGAGGGAGAAACAGAGAGAAAGGCCUUUCUUCUGUUGGUUCACUCUGCAAAUGGCCGCAAGGACCGGAGCUGCACUGAUCUGAAGCCAGGAGCCAGGAGCUUCUUCUGGGUCUCCCACGUGGGUGCAGGGGCCCAAGGACUUGAACCAUCUUCUGCUGCUUUCCCAGGCCACAGCAGAGAGCUGGAUUGGAAGAGGAGCAGCCUGCGGUGGAUUAACCCACAUGGGAUGCCGGCGCAGCAGGUGGUGGAUUAACCCACUGCAACUAGGCGCCAAUACUGCAAGGUUUUCAUGCAUGCUUCUCUGUAAAGAACAAAUAAAUCCUUAUCUGGCCAGAAGAGCAAAGCCUAGAGGUUACGACCAAAGACCAGGGGGCUGUGUGCACAGGGCCUCUGCACUGCCUUGGAAGUAACUCUGAGGCUGGUGGGUAGAGACCUGGCUUGGAGGUGGGGGGGUUGGUGCAGAGGGGGAGGGCUGUUAAUUGGGAGCAUCCUGGUUUCUUGGGAAGUUGAGACAGGAAAUGCAGGGGUACAUCUGAAACCGAGAGCUCUCUAAGAGACCAGUAAUACCAUUGCAAAAUACUUGGCCAUUUUUUGUAAGUUUGGGAAUUUUGCAAUCAUUUUCAACCUUCGGUACAUAUAAUAAAUGUCUUCUUAGGAG